This 467-nucleotide ribosomal RNA is filed under the name uncultured bacterium. RNAcentral's name for it is "partial 16S ribosomal RNA". It matches the Rfam family "Bacterial small subunit ribosomal RNA", at positions 28 to 507 of the family's 1533-position model. The record is from RNAcentral.
GAUGAACGCUGGCGGCGUGCUUAACACAUGCAAGUCGAACGGAAAGGCCCAAGCUUGCUUGGGUUCUCGAGUGGCGAACGGGUGAGUAACACGUGGGUGAUCUGCCCUGCACUUCGGGAUAAGCCUGGGAAACUGGGUCUAAUACCGGAUAGGACCACUUCUUGGAUGUUGUGGUGGAAAGUUUUUUCGGUGUGGGAUGAGCUCGCGGCCUAUCAGCUUGUUGGUGGGGUAAUGGCCUACCAAGGCGUCGACGGGUAGCCGGCCUGAGAGGGUGUACGGCCACAUUGGGACUGAGAUACGGCCCAGACUCCUACGGGAGGCAGCAGUGGGGAAUAUUGCACAAUGGGCGCAAGCCUGAUGCAGCGACGCCGCGUGGGGGAGGACGGCCUUCGGGUUGUAAACUCAUUUCGCUAGGGACGAAGCGUUUUGUGACGGUACCUGGAGAAGAAGCACCGGCUAACUACGUG